This is a long non-coding RNA of Colossoma macropomum (tambaqui), 1598 nucleotides long. RefSeq lists it as uncharacterized. Lineage: Eukaryota; Metazoa; Chordata; Actinopteri; Characiformes; Serrasalmidae. The record is from RefSeq and is a predicted model, not a curated record. The transcript is spliced from 4 exons.
CAGAGGGGAUGAAAGUGAAAGUGCUUCUGAACAGAGAAAAUCUGCAUGCGUUUCUUCUGCAGCCGCCCUAUACAAGGCUAAACUUUUUGAAUGAGAUUGCAUUUGUAGUUGUAUUUGAUGUUUUCAAUGUGUUUUGUCUUCAAUCUGCUGGAUCAGCCCACCAAGCGUCAAGGAGGAAGACAGGUUAAACUGACCUGUCUAAGAAGACCUAUCUCAGAGGAAUCAAACGAAGAGUGGAAAAAGAGGAGAAAAUGGAGGAGAGGGAAAAAAUCUUAGAAGAAAGAGAAAAGCUUCUGAAUCAGAAAGAAAUUCAUUUACAAGAAAGAGAAAAACAUCUGGAUGGGAGAGAGACUCGUUUAUGAGAGAGAGAGCAGCGUUUGGAUAGGGAGAGAGACCCUGUUUGGAAGAAAGAGUAAAGCACCUGGAUGGGAGAGAGCGACAAAGAGACCCAAGAGAGCAUUUGUGGGAAAGGCUACGCGGAAGAGAAAUGGAUCUGAAUUUGAGAGAAAGAGACCUGGAAAUGAGACUUAGAGAUCGAAAACUAAUGGAAAGUAGUGUGAUAGGAAAACAAUCGCCGACAGAAGGAAAACCCACUGAACACAAGUCUGACACUUUUCCCCCAGAAGAAAGUUUUCCAUUUACCUUCCCCAGCAUGAAAAGAAGAGGAAGCACUGAUCAUCCCCCAGCCUUUGGAGAAGAAAAAAGCCCACCGAAUCCUGAGAAACCUGCGACUGAACCUGAAACUGCUGCCCAGUGUGGAAGUUCAGUCUAGAGAUACUGGAGAUGACACCAGGAAUCAUGUUGGAAGCUUUUAACACAACUGUAGUUUUUCCUUUUUCCACAUCAUUUUUUUAUUUACAUUUUUUUUUAUUUAAUCUAGCAGAAACUAAAUAUUAGUCCCACGUAACGAGUCUCAAAAGAUUACAAAGGAACACAUGCACCCUUUAGUUCUGCUGGACACCACCAUCCCAGCAAAUUUAAUAAUACAUUUUUGAAAAUUACCCUUAAAAAAUAAAAAAGAAAGACCAUUUCAGAUUCAGCCUUUGACAAACUGAGCUACAACAGCUUUGCUAUCAGACAAACAAGUUGGCAUAUAUGGAUUUUGGUUCCACAAAUGUCGACUUUUUGCCCCGUUUUGUCAGCCUAUGUGUAGGAUCAGUGGUUGUGAUUAUGUUUGUGUGUGGUUUUGGAUGCAACUUUGAGAAAUCAGUGUGUGAGAUCUGAUCAAACUAAGCAACUAAGAUUUCAGGUGUCCGAAAUUCAUCUGAUCGUCCAGCUGCUCAGUUGGAGCCUGUUUGGGAAGUUAAUUGCUUCCCUUCUCACACUGCACUUCAGGCAACUACCAAUGAAGCUGAAAUGCAGCCCCUUUAUGAAAUUCAGUCAGUUAUGACCAAAUUGGGCUGAAAAUCACAGUGUCUGCCUGAUGUAAGAUUACGUAACAUAUAAUGUGUGGACUAAGCUCUUACCAAUACGAACACAGCUGCCCAGUCUAAUAGAUUUCCAAGCCUGUAAUUUGAUUAUAUUAGUCCUACAUCCAGCCUAUAGGGACACAAACAGAAUUCACCAUUUUAUUAUUUUCUAACCUGUUUAGAAACAUU